Molecule: ribosomal RNA, 468 nt
Filed under: uncultured bacterium
Lineage: Bacteria
Description: partial 16S ribosomal RNA
Rfam family: Bacterial small subunit ribosomal RNA
Source: RNAcentral
GACGAACGCUGGCGGCGUGCUUAACACAUGCAAGUCGAACUGACAGGCCCUGCUUUUGUGGGGUGCUCGAGUGGCGAACGUGUGAGUAACACUUGAGUAACCUGUCCUUUACUUUUGGAUAUCUUCAGGAAACUGGGGCUAAUACCGGAUAGCAGCUCCUUCUGCAUGGUGGGGUUUGGAUAGUUUCGGCGGUUCGGGAUGGACUCGCGGGUUAUCAGCUUGUUAGUGGGGUAGUGGCUUACCAAGGAUUGGACGGGUAGCCGGCCUGAGAGAGGUACCGGCGAGAUUAGGACUAAGAUACGGCGCAGACUCCUAAGGGAGGCAGCAGUAGGGAAUAUGGAGCAAUGAGCGAAAGCCUGAGGCAGAGACGCAGAGUGCGGGAUAAAGGGCUUCGAGUUGUAAACAGCUUUCGCAAGUGACGAAGAGUGAGUGACGGUAAUGAAUAAAGAAGCAACGGAUAACUACGUG